This 732-nucleotide long non-coding RNA is filed under the name Hordeum vulgare. RNAcentral's name for it is "long non-coding RNA (HVUL_LNC018149)". The record is from RNAcentral. Lineage: Eukaryota; Viridiplantae; Streptophyta; Magnoliopsida; Poales; Poaceae.
AAGUUUAGCACCACCACAUGUUAUUUUACUCAUGAGCUGAGUUGAGAUUUCAGAAAUUGCUAAUGGCCAAGACCAUUUAUUUCUAACAACCCUCACCAGAUCACAAAUACCCAUUUCGAGGUUUAUCUUUUCUCACUACUUGUUUAAUAUACUAGUGUUUCAGGAGAUAUUGUUAAGUCGAACUCCUACCUAGAUCUUUAAGUUACAUCGAUCCACAACUUGACAAUGGACUAUACCUUGAAUUGCUAGUUUUGUGUGAACAUGUUUCACCCAAAGUCUUAACCAGUAUCUGGCUGCCAGUAGGCUACCCCAUGGUUCGGAGCAUAUAUGGUGUAUAACAUGGUCUCUUCGUGAGCUAAGUAGAGAUCAUCCAAGUCUCAUAGGUUGCGACGCUCACAAUUGAAGCUCAUAUUGGUGAGUUCUUUCAAGACUACUCUAUAGGACAUGGCUAUCUUGCUACACACUUUCUACUAUUUUUGCUUGUCACUUGUUACGUAUUAUCUUGCUACCAAACUAUCUAUCGCUGUUACUCACAACACUUGUAGAGAAUACCUUGUUGAAACUACUUAUUGUUUCCUUCUGCUCCUCGUUGGGUUCGACACUCUAACUUAUCAAAAGGACUAUGAUUUAUCUCCUAUACUUGUGGGUCAUCAAGACUCUUUUCUGAUGUCGUUAUCAGGGAGUGAAGCGCCUUUGGUAAGUGAAACUUGGUAAGGAAACAUUUUCGAUACG